CCUGACGCAGCGACGCCGCGUGAGGGAAGAAGGUCUUCGGAUUGUAAACCUCUGUCCUCAGGGACGAUAAUGACGGUAUCUGAGGAGGAAGCUCCGGCUAACUACGUGCCAGCAGCCGCGGUAAUACGUAGGGAGCGAGCGUUGUCCGGAUUUACUGGGUGUAAAGGGUGCGUAGGCGGCUCUGCAAGUCAGGUGUGAAAACUAUGGGCUUAACUCAUAGAUUGCACUUGAAACUGUGGGGCUUGAGUGGAGCAGAGGCAGGCGGAAUUCCCGGUGUAGCGGUGAAAUGCGUAGAGAUCGGGAGGAACACCAGUGGCGAAGGCGGCCUGCUGGGCUUUAACUGACGCUGAGGCACGAAAGCAUGGGUAGCAAACAGGAUUAGAUACCCUGGUAGUCCAUGCCGUAAACGAUGAUUACUAGGUGUGGGGGGUCUGACCCCCUCCGUGCCGGAGUUAACACAAUAAGUAAUCCACCUGGGGAGUACGACCGCAAGGUUGAAACUCAAAGGAAUUGACGG
RNAcentral lists this ribosomal RNA (517 nucleotides) under uncultured bacterium. RNAcentral describes it as "bacterial SSU rRNA". It matches the Rfam family "Bacterial small subunit ribosomal RNA", at positions 382 to 916 of the family's 1533-position model. The record is from RNAcentral.